GUUUUUAAUGAUUUUAAAAAGGAAACAGCUCUCUUUCGAGACUAAAAUUUUAAGCUCAGCCCGAGCGGAAACUUGCUAUGUAAAAUAAUUUCAGCUCGGUUAACUGGAUUGGAAUUCAGUCUGGGUUGAAACGUCUUCAUGCAAUUGGCCUCCCAUACAUCUUUUAUUACGUAAAUGUGUGCUGCCUUUUCCCUUUCAAUGCUAAUGCUAAACAAAUCAAUUGCCCUUGUCUAUACAAUUACUGCUAUGACUAUAUGUUCUUAUUUAUUUAAGGAAUAUUUCACACUUAUUUAUUUAAUUAUAUA
Molecule: non-coding RNA, 305 nt
Organism: Paramuricea clavata
Lineage: Eukaryota; Metazoa; Cnidaria; Anthozoa; Malacalcyonacea; Plexauridae
Source: the annotation of a GenBank genome assembly